AGAAUGGAGCGUUAAUCGUACGCGCCUCACACAACGGUUUCGCUUUCCAAAACACGCACAUUAUGGCGCACUCUUCAGCUUCUCCCUCAAAGAAAACGCAAACGGUCAAGUUUCAAGGCACAUUCCAAACAAAUUACAAUUCUGAAGAGAUGUUCGAACUUGUCGCGAAGAUUAGAAGAAAUCAAGAACAAAAGAUAGAACUCUCCAUCAAAAAUCACCAGAAAAAACGAAGAAAUAUUAUUCAAGUAAAAAUGGCAAGCAAAAACUAAGCUGAAAAAAAUCAAACCAAAGACCUGAAGUGUGCAACCCAUUUGUUGAGUGAGAAAUUC
Molecule: non-coding RNA, 329 nt
Organism: Arachis ipaensis
Lineage: Eukaryota; Viridiplantae; Streptophyta; Magnoliopsida; Fabales; Fabaceae
Source: RefSeq, a predicted model, not a curated record